Molecule: non-coding RNA, 111 nt
Filed under: Desulfovibrio sp.
Lineage: Bacteria; Pseudomonadati; Thermodesulfobacteriota; Desulfovibrionia; Desulfovibrionales; Desulfovibrionaceae
Also listed under: 1 other name
Description: TPP sequence
Rfam family: TPP riboswitch aptamer (THI element)
About the family: Vitamin B(1) in its active form thiamin pyrophosphate (TPP) is an essential coenzyme that is synthesised by coupling of pyrimidine and thiazole moieties in bacteria. The previously detected thiamin-regulatory element, thi box was extended, resulting in a new, highly conserved RNA secondary structure, the THI element, which is widely distributed in eubacteria and also occurs in some archaea. Analysis of operon structures identified a large number of new candidate thiamin-regulated genes, mostly transporters, in various prokaryotic organisms.
Source: RNAcentral
GUAAUUUGCUGGGGGAGCUGCGCACGGGCAGCUGAGAGUGGUCACCUACGGGCCAGACCCUUGGAACCUGAUGCAGUUAGCGCUGCCGGAGGAAAGCUAUGCAUUCUCGUA